This 242-nucleotide ribosomal RNA is filed under the name uncultured bacterium. Its description in RNAcentral is "partial 16S ribosomal RNA". It matches the Rfam family "Bacterial small subunit ribosomal RNA", at positions 1259 to 1500 of the family's 1533-position model. The record is from RNAcentral.
GAGGUGGAGCAAAUCUCCAAAAAAACGUCUCAGUUCGGAUUGUAGGCUGCAACCCGCCUGCAUGAAGUCGGAAUUGCUAGUAAUGGCAGGUCAGCAUACUGCCGUGAAUACGUUCCCGGGCCUUGUACACACCGCCCGUCACACCAUGAGAGUUGGGGAUACCCGAAGCCUGUGAGCCAACUGUAAAGAGGCAGCAGUCGAAGGUAGAAUCAAUGAUUGGGGUGAAGUCGUAACAAGGUAAC